AAAGUUAGUUAAAUAAUAAUAUAGGAUUGUCAUUCCUAUGUUACUAAUUAGAUUUAGUACUUUUUGU
RNAcentral lists this transfer RNA (67 nucleotides) under Pararetifusus carinatus. RNAcentral describes it as "tRNA-Asp". Lineage: Eukaryota; Metazoa; Mollusca; Gastropoda; Neogastropoda; Fasciolariidae. The record is from RNAcentral.